CCCCAAAAAGUGUCCCCAAAUGUCAUAGGGGUCCCCAAGAUGUGUCCCCAAGUGCCACAGGGGUCCCCUGGGAAUGUCCCCAAAUGCCACAGGGGUCCCCACAGCCCCCCAGAGUGUCCCCAAGUGCCUCAGGGGUCCCCAAAAAGUGUCCCCAAAUGUCAUAGGGGUCCCCAAGGAAUGUCCCCAAAUGUCAUAGGGGUCCCCCAAAAGUGUCCCCAAAUGUCACAGGGGUCCCCAGGGAAUGUCCCCAAAAGCCACAGGGAUCCCCACAGCCCUCAGAGUGUCCCCAAAUGCCACAGGGGUCCCCAAGGAAUGUCCCCAAAAGCCACAGGGGUCCCCAGAGCCCCCCAGAGUGUCCCCCAGUGCCACAGGGGUCCCCAAAAAGUGUCCCCAAAUGUCACAGGGGUCCCCAAGGAAUGUCCCCAACAUCCACAGGGGUCCCCACAGCCCCCCAGAGUGUCCCCAAAUGUCACAGGGAUCCCCAAAGAGUGUCCCCAAAUGCCACAGGGUCCCCAUAAAGUGUCCCCAAAUGUCACAGGGGUCCCCAAGGAAUGUCCCCAACAUCCACAGGGGUCCCCACAGCCCCCCAGAGUGUCCCCAAAUGCCAGAAGGGCCCCCAAAAAGUGUCCCCAAAUGUCAUAGGGGUCCCCAAGAUGUGUCCCCAAGUGCCACAGGGGUCCCCUGGGAAUGUCCCCAAAUGCCACAGGG
Molecule: long non-coding RNA, 708 nt
Filed under: Numida meleagris (helmeted guineafowl)
Lineage: Eukaryota; Metazoa; Chordata; Aves; Galliformes; Numididae
Description: lncRNA (ENSNMEG00000001942.1)
Source: RNAcentral